UUGAAGGUGAAAUACAAAGGUAAAAUCAAAAGUAGACAAAAAUGGCCACUUAUAUCCUGGAGCCCAAAGGGUUAACUCAAUAAAGCAUGAAAAAUUAGGUUUCAAUUUUUGGUGAAAAACAUGUUCAUGACAGUGCAGAUUUCUGACAUUUUGUGUAAAUUUAAGCAUAUAACAAUUUGAUUAUUUCUAAUAAGUUAGACUUGUGUUUGUAAAUGAACCACCACAGUACAUAUAUAGAGUUAAAAAUUAAGAAAUGCUGAUUUGAGCAGCUUCAAAAACAUUAACCCCGGGUUCUUGUGUCUCAAGGUAGCACUGGAAAACUGCUCUGCCUGCCGGGCCAGCGUGCCACUUUGCCUUGCUCAUACCACUAUGAGGACCAGAUGCAUAUUUUCCAGCUAUCCAUACAAUGGAGGAGUCCUCUCAAUGAGCUGCUGUGUCACUAUAUCAAACACAAAGCCUUUCAGAACUGCACGGCUGGCUACACAAUCAGCUACAGCCCAGGCAACAUCACGCUUACCAUCCUGCAGGUCAGACGGGAGGACUUUGGGACUCACAUUUGUUCAGUGAGCAAACGGCAUGAGUUCUCUGACUACAGCAUUGAGCUGGCCAGAAUGUCAGAGUCUGUUACUUCAGCACCAACGGGUGGAAUGAAUCAGUCAGGCCUGACCUGGAGACUAAUUAUUCUUCAUGCUUUGGCGUGCUUGUUGGUUUGCACAUAGAAGAGGAAAUUUAUAUAUUUAUAUACAUUAACAGACACAAACCUGUAAAUUUACAUAGAAUCUAAAUCCCACCUGUCCAGCAGAGACCUAAAUAAAAACUUUGCCAAAGGAUACGUGUGUGCUCAAUCUUUUUCCAGAGGAUGUGAGAUGUUACUGUCAUUCCUUUGAAUUAGGUUG
Long non-coding RNA from Oreochromis aureus, 896 nucleotides. Lineage: Eukaryota; Metazoa; Chordata; Actinopteri; Cichliformes; Cichlidae. The record is from Ensembl.